RNAcentral lists this ribosomal RNA (428 nucleotides) under uncultured bacterium. Its description in RNAcentral is "bacterial SSU rRNA". It matches the Rfam family "Bacterial small subunit ribosomal RNA", at positions 29 to 461 of the family's 1533-position model. The record is from RNAcentral.
AUUGAACGCUGGCGGCAGGCCUAACACAUGCAAGUCGAGCGCGAAAGGCUUUCGGGCUGAGUAGAGCGGCGGACGGGUGAGUAACGCGUAGGAAUCUACCUGGUAGUGGGGGACAACUUGGGGAAACUCAAGCUAAUACCGCAUACGCCCUAUGGGGGAAAGCGGGGGACCUUCGGGCCUCGCGCUAUCAGAUGAGCCUGCGUAGGAUUAGCUAGUUGGUGGGGUAAAGGCUCACCAAGGCGACGAUCCUUAGCUGGUCUGAGAGGAUGAUCAGCCACACUGGGACUGAGACACGGCCCAGACUCCUACGGGAGGCAGCAGUGGGGAAUAUUGCGCAAUGGGGGCAACCCUGACGCAGCCAUGCCGCGUGUGUGAAGAAGGCCUUCGGGUUGUAAAGCACUUUAAGUGGGGAGAAAAGGGUAGCGGUU